Molecule: ribosomal RNA, 539 nt
Filed under: Novosphingobium sp.
Lineage: Bacteria; Pseudomonadati; Pseudomonadota; Alphaproteobacteria; Sphingomonadales; Sphingomonadaceae
Description: bacterial SSU rRNA
Rfam family: Bacterial small subunit ribosomal RNA
Source: RNAcentral
ACGWGACCUUCUGGGUCUAGUGGCGCACGGGUGCKUAACGCGUGGGAAUCUGCCCUUGSGUUCGGAAUAACAGUGAGAAAUUACUGCUAAUACCGGAUGAUGUCUUCGGACCAAAGAUUUAUCGCCCAGGGAUGAGCCCGCGUAGGAUUAGGUAGUUGGUGGGGUAAUGGCCUACCAAGCCGACGAUCCUUAGCUGGUCUGAGAGGAUGAUCAGCCACACUGGGACUGAGACACGGCCCAGACUCCUACGGGAGGCAGCAGUGGGGAAUAUUGGACAAUGGGCGAAAGCCUGAUCCAGCAAUGCCGCGUGAGUGAUGAAGGCCUUAGGGUUGUAAAGCUCUUUUACCCGGGAUGAUAAUGACRGUACCGGGAGAAUAAGCUCCGGCUAACUCCGUGCCAGCAGCCGCGRUAAUACGGAGGGAGCUAGCGUUGUUCGGAAUUACUGRGCGUAAAGCGCGCGUAGGCGGUUACUCAWGUCAGAGGUGAAAGCCCGGGGCUCAACCCCGGAACUGCCUUUGAAACUAGGUGACUAGAAUCUU